Long non-coding RNA from Prionailurus viverrinus (fishing cat), 272 nucleotides. RefSeq lists it as uncharacterized. The transcript is spliced from 3 exons. The record is from RefSeq and is a predicted model, not a curated record. NCBI's taxonomy places the organism in Eukaryota, Metazoa, Chordata, Mammalia, Carnivora, Felidae.
UGGCAGCGCCCGGGCCUCCCGCAGGGAAGCGCGCCGAGACCCUAGCCCUCCGUGCCGCGGCGAAUGUUUCUUUGUAAUUCCAGAUAACCCACCGCAAACACCUACCUGAAAAAGUUGUUCCGUGUCCCAACAAGGUCACCAUUGUUCAUCCUUAGACAAAGAUGGAAUAUUUCAGAAAAUAUAACAAAGAGCCAUGGAGAAUAAAUGGACUGGAAAGCCCCUUGUAAGUCUAAUCAAAGAAACUUUUCUCUCCCUUUGGGAUAGAGGAUCCU